GGAUGAGGCUAUGGUCGAGAUGGAUCACAGGUAUUUGAUGGCAGGAAGAUAUAUGUUGAAAUAGCAAAACCUGGGAAAGGCCGAUUCAGAGGAUAUCCUAAAACAUCAGGACCCCCUAGUACUAAGCCGCAGUUACAACAACCGAACGAUGUGGCAGACUGCUGGUACUAGUCACAUCCAUCUUAAAUGAAAAGAUGUUGGAGCAAAGGAGAAUAUGUUACCGAUAUCCCCAAGUAAGCUUGUUGAUUUAAUUUACCUGGCAUGGCAAAGGUUAGGCCAAACGUUGAAUUCAUUGUUGUUUCUGGGUGGCAGAAGUUGCUGGGUAAAUUGAUAAACAAGAGGGAUUUGUGAAUUCUUAUUUAUAUUGAUUGAUAUAUAACCAGUAGACGUUGUCAUACAGAAACAGUUAUCUUUUGUAACA
This is a long non-coding RNA of Hibiscus syriacus, 421 nucleotides long. RefSeq lists it as uncharacterized. The record is from RefSeq and is a predicted model, not a curated record. Lineage: Eukaryota; Viridiplantae; Streptophyta; Magnoliopsida; Malvales; Malvaceae. The transcript has 2 exons.